AGCAUAUCAAUAAGCGGAGGAAAAGAAACUAACAAGGAUUCCCCUAGUAACUGCGAGUGAAGCGGGAAAAGCUCAAAUUUAAAAUCUGGCGGUCCUNGGCCGUCCGAGUUGUAGUCUGGAGAAGUGCUUUCCGCGCUGGACCGUGUACAAGUCUCUUGGAACAGAGCGUCAUAGAGGGUGAGAAUCCCGUCUUUGACAUGGACUACCAGUGCUUUGUGAUGCGCUCUCAAAGAGUCGAGUUGUUUGGGAAUGCAGCUCAAAAUGGGUGGUGAAUUCCAUCUAAAGCUAAAUAUUGGCGAGAGACCGAUAGCGAACAAGUACCGUGAGGGAAAGAUGAAAAGCACUUUGGAAAGAGAGUUAAACAGUACGUGAAAUUGCUGAAAGGGAAACGCUUGAAGUCAGUCACGUUGGCCGGAACUCAGCCUUGCUCUUUGCAUGGUGCACUUUCUGGUUGACGGGUCAGCAUCAGUUUUGACCGUCGGAAAAAGGCUGGAGGAAUGUGGCACCUUCGGGUGUGUUAUAGCCUCUGGUCACAUACGACGGUUGGGACUGAGGAUCUCAGCACGCCUUUUUGGCCGGGGCUUUGCCCACGUUCGUGCUUAGGAUGCUGGCAUAAUGGCUUUAAGCGACCCGUCUUGAAACACGGACCAAGGAGUCUAACAUACCUGCGAGUGUUUGGGUGGAAAACCCGAGCGCGUAAUGAAAGUGAAAGUUGAGAUCCCUGUCGUGGGGAGCAUCGACGCCCGGACCUGACGUUCUCUGACGGAUCCGCGGUAGAGCAUGUAUGCUGGGACCCGAAAGAUGGUGAACUAUGCCUGAAUAGGGUGAAGCCAGAGGAAAC
This 841-nucleotide ribosomal RNA is filed under the name Resinoporia ferox. RNAcentral's name for it is "eukaryotic LSU rRNA". It matches the Rfam family "Eukaryotic large subunit ribosomal RNA", at positions 37 to 862 of the family's 3401-position model. Lineage: Eukaryota; Fungi; Basidiomycota; Agaricomycetes; Polyporales; Adustoporiaceae. The record is from RNAcentral.